This is a long non-coding RNA of Eriocheir sinensis (Chinese mitten crab), 401 nucleotides long. RefSeq lists it as uncharacterized. The record is from RefSeq and is a predicted model, not a curated record. The transcript has 2 exons. Lineage: Eukaryota; Metazoa; Arthropoda; Malacostraca; Decapoda; Varunidae.
CGGAGUAUCGAUUUUAUGGUUAGUUGUCGUACAUAUGAUAACCUUCCCCGGUGGCCAUCUUGAUGACGUCACGACGCGCGCACACCAGCUGACUCAGUGACGGUCUGGCAGUGGUGGCGAGUGGAGGUGCGCGCGAGUGCCGGGCGGGCCUCCAUAUUAUAAAUCCUAGGAUGAAAUUGAAUUAUCUUUUCUUUCUUUGCUUACUUCCCUAACCGCCGCCAUGAAACGGUUCACCAAGAUCAUGGUGGACGGCCUGCGGUCAACGGUACAGCCUCCAAAGGUUGAAGAAAUUGCCGUUGUGGAGACUCUACAGGCGGAGGCUUUUCAGAUCGCUAAGACCGUGCGACAUGGCUUCCCCUACCAGCCCACCGCCAUCGCUUUCGACCCCAUACAGAGGAUCC